GUCUCAUUCUUUACUCCUUUGGCAUGGGUCCUAAAACAUGAGUGCUUGAAUGCCGGGAUAAUAUUCUAUGUAAGUUAUGUUCGCAUAUGCUUACUAACUGGCCAUGACUAAACAAUGGUUGUUGCUUUAUAUGAUCACUUCACAAACGUAUCUAACAUCGAUGAACAGUUUACACAUUUACCAUAAAAUGCUAGAAAGAGAAUAGUUUGAUUAACUGAACUGUUGAUCCUGUUACAAGUACAUCCUCCAUCAUGACAACAUAGCAUGAUCAAAUUAUAUGCAUUUUUCCUUCCUUGCUUGUAUAGAUGUAGUGUUCCGUGACAAUGCUUCAGGGAUAUGUUAUUAAGUAUAUACUUCCCUGAUAUUCAAGCGUUCUUACUUCAUUUAUUCUGUGCACAUGAACGUCGUUCAAAAAGGGCCGUACAGCCCUUUUUAUCUUAUUUUGCGAGCGAGUUAAUAAGGUUUAAAACAUUGCCACCAGGUCGUAAAACUAGUCUCGUCACGGUCAUUAUUUUCCUCUUCUGUCGCCGUUAGGCAAAGUACGGCGGUCGUCGUUGUGUACACGACUGCAUGAGAAGUGGUGAACCGUCGAUUAUAUUCUCCAGCAGCAUACUCGCAUACCUUUAUCAUGUACAUAUUUGAUAUAUGUUAUCUCAUAUAUGUCUGUUACCUUAUUCAUGUUUUGAAAAUGUUUAUGUAAGGCUGUCCUCUCUGACCCGUGAAGGUCCGGGUUAGAAUGAACCUUCAGUAACCCAUGCUUGUCGUUUGGGGCGGCUAACGGCUUGGUUGACACAUGUCAUCGGUUCCCAAUUGCGCAGAUCGAUGCUGCUGCUGUUGAUCACUGGAUUGUCUUGUCCACACUUGAUUUUUGGUCAUUUCUCUAUGAUGUUUUAAAAAUGUUUUUGCGAAAAGGUUAGCAAAUGUUUUCACGAUGUUGUAUUCACAAGAAUAAUAAUUUAGCAAUGUUU
Molecule: long non-coding RNA, 968 nt
Filed under: Haliotis rubra (blacklip abalone)
Lineage: Eukaryota; Metazoa; Mollusca; Gastropoda; Lepetellida; Haliotidae
Description: uncharacterized LOC124256383, transcript variant X2
Source: RNAcentral